Molecule: ribosomal RNA, 253 nt
Filed under: uncultured bacterium
Lineage: Bacteria
Description: partial 16S ribosomal RNA
Rfam family: Bacterial small subunit ribosomal RNA
Source: RNAcentral
UACGGGGGGUGCAAGCGUUAUCCGGAUUCACUGGGUUUAAAGGGUGCGUAGGUGGGCAGGUAAGUCCGUGGUGAAAUCUCUGAGCUUAACUCAGAAACUGCCGUGGAUACUAUUUGUCUUGAAUGUUGUGGAGGUGAGCGGAAUAUGUCAUGUAGCGGUGAAAUGCUUAGAUAUGACAUAGAACACCAAUUGCGAAGGCAGCUCACUACACAAUUAUUGACGCUGAGGCACGAAAGCGUGGGGAUCAAACAGG